This 272-nucleotide unclassified non-coding RNA is filed under the name uncultured fungus. Its description in RNAcentral is "sequence contains ITS1, 5.8S rRNA gene". The stretch from base 224 to 272 matches the Rfam family "5.8S ribosomal RNA", at positions 1 to 49 of the family's 154-position model. The record is from RNAcentral. Lineage: Eukaryota; Fungi.
UUUCCGUAGGUGAACCUGCGGAAGGAUCAUUAACGAAUGAAGUUGAGCGGGGUUGCUGCUGGCCUCCGGGCAUGUGCACGCCUCGUUCGUCCAACCUUCUACACCACUGUGCACUUUCUCAUGGGUCGGGUUCUGCGCCUUCAAUGGCUGCGUCCCUGCCUGUGUGUCUACACAUACACAUGUUUGUUAUAGAAUGUCUACUGUGCAUGAAUGCAUAUAAUACAACUUUCAGCAACGGAUCUCUUGGCUCUCGCAUCGAUGAAGAACGCAGC